GCGAUGUUCAUUGGAUUUAUGUCCUAGAAAACAUUUUUAUAGAUACAACCCUACAGACGCUACUCAUUUUAACAUUCGUGAACAUUGUUUUUACAUAUUUAAUCUGAUCCGUCUGUACUGUUGAGAGAUUUGAGAAUAAAUUGUUGACAAGCUACAGGACUAAAGGACAGAAAAAUGAGCGUUUCUAAUAAAUUCUCUUCUUAGUGGACAAGACUGUAGGUCAAACUGAACAGCAGAUUGUUUUCUCAACCCAAUGCUGAUCACUGGAGUUUAUCUGCAGUUUGUCAGAAGAGCGAGGAAAGGACUCUCAGUCUGAGAUGAGUCUCUCACGGAAACAGAGUGUAAGAUCAGGCUCACAUGUGUCCAGCUCUGUGUCUGUGAAGAGUGACCGGUCACACAAUCAACCACCGGACUUAAGUGAGAAAAAAACAUCAUCUACCAAAAG
Molecule: long non-coding RNA, 445 nt
Organism: Labeo rohita (rohu)
Lineage: Eukaryota; Metazoa; Chordata; Actinopteri; Cypriniformes; Cyprinidae
Exons: 3
Source: RefSeq, a predicted model, not a curated record